AUGAACUCUUUGAGCUAUAAGGCUUUUUCUACCUUAAAAUUAAAACACAUUCAUCUUGCCUUAAUUUCAAUACCAAAAAUGAAGUCAUAGCUAGAGUCUUCAACUUCUUUGACCCUUAGCAUCAUCUAAUUUCAUUUUCCGCUGUUGAUGUGAUCAGUCUCAUUCUGCUUGCGCUUAUUAGAUAUCUGAAUAACAAAUAUCCAAC
This 205-nucleotide long non-coding RNA is filed under the name Medicago truncatula (barrel medic). Its description in RNAcentral is "lncRNA gene34848". Lineage: Eukaryota; Viridiplantae; Streptophyta; Magnoliopsida; Fabales; Fabaceae. The record is from RNAcentral.